UGUAGUCAUAUGCUUGUCUCAAAGAUUAAGCCAUGCAUGUCUAAGUAUAAAUAACUUUAUAUUGUGAAACUGCGAAUGGCUCAUUAAAUCAGUUAUGAUCUACGUGACAAAUUCUUUACUACUUGGAUAACCGUGGUAAUUCUAGAGCUAAUACAUGCAAAAAAGCCCUGACUCACGAAGGGGUGCACUUAUUAGAUAAAACCAACGCGGGGUAAAACCUGUUUCGUGGUGAAUCAUAAUAAUUAAGCGGAUCGCAUGGCCUUGAGCCGGCGACGGUCCACUCGAUUUUCUGCCCUAUCAUGGUUGAGAUUGUAAGAUAGAGGCUUACAAUGCCUACAACGGGUAACGGGGAAUGGGGCGGGG
This 363-nucleotide ribosomal RNA is filed under the name uncultured Rhizopus. Its description in RNAcentral is "SSU rRNA". It matches the Rfam family "Eukaryotic small subunit ribosomal RNA", at positions 21 to 375 of the family's 1831-position model. Lineage: Eukaryota; Fungi; Mucoromycota; Mucoromycetes; Mucorales; Mucoraceae. The record is from RNAcentral.